This 676-nucleotide ribosomal RNA is filed under the name uncultured bacterium. Its description in RNAcentral is "bacterial SSU rRNA". It matches the Rfam family "Bacterial small subunit ribosomal RNA", at positions 153 to 847 of the family's 1533-position model. The record is from RNAcentral.
GAAAUGACUGCUAAUACCGCAUAAGCGCACAGGGCCGCAUGGUCUGGUGUGAAAAACUCCGGUGGUGUAAGAUGGACCCGCGUCUGAUUAGGUAGUUGGUGGGGUAACGGCCCACCAAGCCGACGAUCAGUAGCCGACCUGAGAGGGUGACCGGCCACAUUGGGACUGAGACACGGCCCAAACUCCUACGGGAGGCAGCAGUGGGGAAUAUUGGACAAUGGGCGAAAGCCUGAUCCAGCGACGCCGCGUGAGUGAAGAAGUAUUUCGGUAUGUAAAGCUCUAUCAGCAGGGAAGAAAAUGACGGUACCUGACUAAGAAGCCCCGGCUAACUACGUGCCAGCAGCCGCGGUAAUACGUAGGGGGCAAGCGUUAUCCGGAUUUACUGGGUGUAAAGGGAGCGUAGACGGUUAAGCAAGUCUGAAGUGAAAGCCCGGGGCUCAACCCCGGUACUGCUUUGGAAACUGUUUGACAUGAGUGCAGGAGAGGUAAGUGGAAUUCCUAGUGUAGCGGUGAAAUGCGUAGAUAUUAGGAGGAACACCAGUGGCGAAGGCGGCUUACUGGACUGUAACUGACGUUGAGGCUCGAAAGCGUGGGGAGCAAACAGGAUUAGAUACCCUGGUAGUCCACGCCGUAAACGAAGAAUACUAGGUGUCGGGGGACAAAGUCCUUCGGUGCC